UCAUCUACUUUGGAGGAUAUGGUUACAAAUUAAUGGCUGAUCCUGAUGAGAGGAGCAGAAGCUUCAUUGUACAUAAAACAUUAUGGGUGGAACAAGUCGAGAUGGGAUGGAACAAUGAGGUUCAUAUAUUUGACCCCAAGCACAGCAGUUGGAGUGAACCACAGACACAUGGCCAUGCUCCUGCCCUCAGGGCCGGCCACGCCAGCAUGACAAUUGGCUGUAAGGGAUACAUUUGUGGAGGCAGAGUUAAGGACAAGUGACAUUUACUGCCUGGACCUGGAAGCAUGGACGUGGUCAGAAAUUGGGCAGAUCCUCUCAUACACUUACACCAAAGUCAGGGAACUCUUUGUUCCUGUUUGGAGGUCUCACUGAGGAUGACAAACCAACGAGUGAUGGAUGGUUGCUUGAUGUAAACACAAGAAAAUGGACAGAAAUUACACAUCCUUUCAAGAAUAAACCCAGGAUGUGGCAUACAGCAUGCCCAGGCAAAAACGCAGAUGUGAUUGUUUUUGGUGGGUCUUGUGACAGCAACCCCCUUGGCUACGCUGUAAGUAUCACAGAGCUGAAGCUAAUUUUACAGACCUGACAUGAACUAAACCCCAUAAGAAAGCUCAAAGCAUGUUAAAUUUAUAUGAACACAGGGGAGACUGAAUGUUGUCGAGAUCAGCAAAAGAUUUGCAAAACUAAUAAAAGAAUAAACUUUCAAAUCAACAUCUAUUUAUGGAUGUAUUCUGUUGAGUGUCCCUUUGCUUACACGAGAGCACUGAGUAACACACCAGAGUAAACCUGCAUGUUAUUGAAAAGUGUUUCACUUUCUUCAAAAAUAACUUGGUGGUGGUACAACUAACCCUGCAGUAUGUCCAUACCACAAUCAACUGACCAAAAAAGAACACAGGAUGCACAUCUUUAAGAGAAAGUAUUUUGUGCAGCACUUGUGUCUUGUGAAAAGUUGAACCUUUAUAAACUUUGUAUAUUUCUUUUCAGGCUCAGUGCAAUGAUGUUCUUGUUUUCCAGAUGCAGCCAUAUCCUCU
Molecule: long non-coding RNA, 1031 nt
Organism: Larimichthys crocea (large yellow croaker)
Lineage: Eukaryota; Metazoa; Chordata; Actinopteri; Sciaenidae
Exons: 7
Source: RefSeq, a predicted model, not a curated record